Molecule: long non-coding RNA, 512 nt
Filed under: Salmo salar (Atlantic salmon)
Lineage: Eukaryota; Metazoa; Chordata; Actinopteri; Salmoniformes; Salmonidae
Description: lncRNA (ENSSSAG00000101539.1, ENSSSAG00020081183.1)
Source: RNAcentral
CGCAUUGGAGUCAACAUGGGCCAGCAUCCCUGUGGAACUCUUUCGACGAAUUGAGUCUGUUCUGAGGGCAAAAUGGGGUGGUGCAACUCAAUAUUAGGAAGGUGACAAUCAUCACUCCCCAAUCAGUCACCAAUCAGCCACAAUCAGAAGACACCUGUUCCUUUUCCCUCAACCAAUCACAUCCCCUUUCCCUUGGUUUAAAAACCCAUUCAGUUGUUUUCUCCCCAGAUCAAUCUCUGUGUCUUCUCGCUGUGUCUUCGUCUCUCUGUCUGUAUUGAUCUCUCUUUUGUUUUGCAACUACAUGUCACAUUUGUCUGGUUAUCCUGUGAGUAUUGUUUUGUUGGUUGACUGUUUGUUUGUUUGGUGGGAAAAGGGGGUACCAAGACAAGUCGCCCAUGGGCAUACAUUACCCGUAGGAAUACUUUGUCUAAGUACCCUAGUUAGACCUGGGCGGACCACCCACUGUAUUUUUGGUUAGUUAGCUAGCUGUUAUUGAAGUAGAUUAGUUUAGG